UACGUAGGGGGCUAGCGUUGUCCGGAAUCAUUGGGCGUAAAGCGCGUGUAGGCGGUUCGGUAAGUCCGCUGUGAAAGUCGGGGCUCAACCCUCGGAUGCCGGUGGAUACUGUCGAGCUUGAGUACGGAAGAGGCGAGUGGAAUUCCUGGUGUAGCGGUGAAAUGCGCAGAUAUCAGGAGGAACACCAAUUGCGAAGGCAGCUCGCUGGGACGUUACUGACGCUGAGACGCGAAAGCGUGGGGAGCAAACAGG
RNAcentral lists this ribosomal RNA (252 nucleotides) under uncultured bacterium. RNAcentral describes it as "partial 16S ribosomal RNA". It matches the Rfam family "Bacterial small subunit ribosomal RNA", at positions 524 to 776 of the family's 1533-position model. The record is from RNAcentral.